Cucurbita maxima (winter squash) is the source of this 425-nucleotide long non-coding RNA. RefSeq lists it as uncharacterized. The transcript is spliced from 2 exons. The record is from RefSeq and is a predicted model, not a curated record. NCBI's taxonomy places the organism in Eukaryota, Viridiplantae, Streptophyta, Magnoliopsida, Cucurbitales, Cucurbitaceae.
CCAAUUAUUCAAUUUUUGUAAUCACACAAAAUGGUCUUCAUUAAUGAGCCCUAGGAGGAUGCUUUUUCACCCAUUCCCAAGAGGAAUAAAUUAGAAAAAUAACCUAUCCUUAGUGUUUAAAUGCUUGCUUUUAGAUAUUUACUUGGAAAUCAAGGUCUACAAAUUGUCCUGGUUGUACUUUAUUUCAAAACGAUAUAUCUGCAUAAUAAAAUAAAUAAAUAAAGAGCAAAAGGCAAGCUGGAAGAAAAUGGAUGACAAAGGGGAGGACAUGAAAAUGACAGAAAUUAUAGGGAAAAGGAUGACCAAUUCAGUUUUCAUCACACAAAACUUAAAUCAUUUUAUUUGGUGUACAAAAAAUGUAAUAACAUUUUUGACUUAGAUUACUAAAUUAUGAUUGCUUUAUUGCUUUCUUAUCUUUUUAAACU